UCGUAAAGCUCUUUGGCAAUGGAAGCUCUGGGAUUUCCUUCUCUCAACACCCUCAGCAUUUUGUGCUCAAGUUCUCAGAAACGAAAAGCCACCAAACCACCAUGUCAAAGAACACAUUUUUCAAGCAUUUCACCUCCCUCUUCCCUAAAACUCACACCCUCUUACAGAAGUUACCAUUUUCAGAGGAGUGCCACUCGUAUGCAGGGUGACAGUGAAGAUUACGAGUUGAAGCAAAUGAGGGAUAUGGCUGCUGCCAAAAAGAGAUGGGAAGCUCUGGCAUGGGUUAAAGGCUCGAUCUGGAUUCCAUUAAUUGAUGUCGGUCAACUUGGGCUACCCCAAAAAUCCGCUAAGGUAUCAAUCUCUUCCUAUCCUCACGAAUGUAGCUUCUCUGGUUUUCGCUUUGAUUUUUAUGGAAGGUAUGAGAUUUCUUUAAAUUUUUGUUUGGUUUAUGAUUUUUUUGUGGAUUGGACCAUCUGGGGGCUGUGGGUUUCUUGAAGCUCAGAAGCUUCGGAUUUUAUGGAACAAAUGGGUCUCAGAGAAGCAGAUUACACUGCAGUGGCAGCGUAGGACCUGGUGGGCCCGGAUUUGCCGGUUGAAGAUGACGUGGUCCUGAUCCUCGGUCGCUUCUGCGACAGUUCCGAACGACGGAUUCAGUUGCCAAGCUCCGACGAUUCUGUCUGUGGCAAAGAGAAUUCAGGAAGAGUGGAAGAUCCGGGAGAAAGAUUUGCCA
RNA transcript from Pyrus x bretschneideri (Chinese white pear), 730 nucleotides. It is a transcript of the gene named rhodanese-like domain-containing protein 11, chloroplastic, with no coding region annotated. NCBI's taxonomy places the organism in Eukaryota, Viridiplantae, Streptophyta, Magnoliopsida, Rosales, Rosaceae. The record is from RefSeq and is a predicted model, not a curated record. The transcript has 4 exons.